MicroRNA precursor from Nicotiana attenuata, 96 nucleotides. It matches the Rfam family "MIR6152 microRNA precursor family". The record is from Rfam. Lineage: Eukaryota; Viridiplantae; Streptophyta; Magnoliopsida; Solanales; Solanaceae.
UGGACAGAUUAUUGUAUUCGACUGUAUUCACGGCGUGAAACAGGGGAUUACACUGUUUUAAAACGGAAAGUGAAUCAAUUAACAUAAUAGACUCCU